GUAACAAGGUCUCCGUUGGUGAACCAGCGGAGGGAUCAUUACUGAGUUUACGCUCUACAACCCUUUGUGAACAUACCUAUAACUGUUGCUUCGGCGGGUAGGGUCUCCGUGACCCUCCCGGCCUCCCGCCCCCGGGCGGGUCGGCGCCCGCCGGAGGAUAACCAAACUCUGAUUUAACGACGUUUCUUCUGAGUGGUACAAGCAAAUAAUCAAAACUUUUAACAACGGAUCUCUUGGUUCUGGCAUCGAUGAAGAACGCAGCGAAAUGCGAUAAGUAAUGUGAAUUGCAGAAUUCAGUGAAUCAUCGAAUCUUUGAACGCACAUUGCGCCCGCCAGCAUUCUGGCGGGCAUGCCUGUUCGAGCGUCAUUUCAACCCUCAAGCCCUGCUUGGUGUUGGGGCCCUACGGCUGACGUAGGCCCUCAAAGGUAGUGGCGGACCCUCCCGGAGCCUCCUUUGCGUAGUAACUUUACGUCUCGCACUGGGAUCCGGAGGGACUCUUGCCGUAAAACCCCCAAUUUUCCAAAGGUUGACCUCGGAUCAGGUAGGAAUACCCGCUGAACUUAAGCAUAUCAAUAA
Molecule: ribosomal RNA, 577 nt
Filed under: Colletotrichum tropicale
Lineage: Eukaryota; Fungi; Ascomycota; Sordariomycetes; Glomerellales; Glomerellaceae
Description: eukaryotic LSU rRNA
Rfam family: 5.8S ribosomal RNA (bases 214-367)
Source: RNAcentral